This 772-nucleotide ribosomal RNA is filed under the name Candidatus Regiella insecticola. RNAcentral's name for it is "bacterial SSU rRNA". It matches the Rfam family "Bacterial small subunit ribosomal RNA", at positions 77 to 842 of the family's 1533-position model. Lineage: Bacteria; Pseudomonadati; Pseudomonadota; Gammaproteobacteria; Enterobacterales; Enterobacteriaceae. The record is from RNAcentral.
AGCUUGCUACUCUGCCGGCGAGCGGCGGACGGGUGAGUAAAGUCUGGGRAUCUGGCUUAUGGAGGGGGAUAACCAUUGGAAACGGUGGCUAAUACCGCAUGAUGUCGCAAGACCAAAGUGGGGGACCUUARGGCCUCACGCCAUGAGAUGAACCCAGAUGAGAUUAGCUAGUAGGUGCGGUAAUGGCGUACCUAGGCGACGAUCUCUAGCUGGUCUGAGAGGAUGACCAGCCACACUGGAACUGAGAGACGGUCCAGACUCCUACGGGAGGCAGCAGUGGGGAAUAUUGCACAAUGGGCGGAAGCCUGAUGCAGCCAUGCCGCGUGUGUGAAGAAGGCCUUAGGGUUGUAAAGCACUUUCAGCGGGGAGGAAGGCGGUAAGAGUAAUAUGCUUAUCRAUUGACGUUACCCGCAAAAGAAGCACCGGCUAACUCCGUGCCAGCAGCCGCGGUAAUACGGAGGGUGCGAGCGUUAAUCGGAAUAACUGGGCGUAAAGRGCAUGUAGGCGGUAAGUUAAGUCAGAUGUGAAAUCCCCGAGCUUAACUUGGGAACGGCAUUUGAGACUGGCUGGCUAGAGUUUUGUAGAGGGGGGUAGAAUUCCAGGUGUAGCGGUGAAAUGCGUAGAGAUCUGGAGGAAUACCGGUGGCGAAGGCGGCCCCCUGGACAAGGACUGACGCUGAGGUGCGAAAGCGUGGGUAGCAAACAGGAUUAGAUACCCUGGUAGUCCACGCUGUAAACGAUGUCGAUUUGGAGGUUGUGACCUANUGUUAUGG